RNAcentral lists this ribosomal RNA (403 nucleotides) under uncultured bacterium. Its description in RNAcentral is "bacterial SSU rRNA". It matches the Rfam family "Bacterial small subunit ribosomal RNA", at positions 355 to 775 of the family's 1533-position model. The record is from RNAcentral.
UAGGGAAUAUUGCAAAUGGGCGAAAGCCUGAUGUAGCAACGCCGCGUGUGCGAUGAAGGUCUUCGGAUUGUAAAGCACUUUUUGGAGGGAUGAGGAAGGACAGUACCUCCAGAAUAAGCCUCGGCUAACUACGUGCCAGCAGCCGCGGUAACACGUAGGAGGCAAGCGUUAUUCGGAUUUACUGGGCGUAAAGCGCGUGCAGGCGGUUUGGAAAGUUGGAUGUGAAAGCUCCUGGCUUAACUGGGAGAGGUCGUUCAAUACUGCCAGGCUUGAGAGUGGUAGAGGGAAGCGGAAUUCCGGGUGUAGUGGUGAAAUGCGUAGAUAUCCGGAGGAACACCAGUGGCGAAAGCGGCUUCCUGGCCCAUUUCUGACGCUCAGACGCGAAAGCUAGGGUAGCAAACGG